UCCUCUACGGUGCUACAGGCAAAUCGAUCUCCCCAAUUAACUCUCCCAAGUCUAUCUUUUCUUCUUCUACUUCCGAUUCUCUUCUCCACCAAAUUAAUGUACGAGUAACGGAUGGUGUCGAUUCCACUAUAAGCAAUGGAUCACCUGUCACCUGCUGUUACAGGCCUCGAGGAGGAGGCGGAAGCUCGAGGCUUCUUGAACUAGCCGGCCGUCGGUGGGAGACGCCCCCUCCAGCGUGCAGCCACCGCCCGUGGUGACGUCCCUCCUGUAUCCUGGCCAUGUUCGGUAACUGACCGCUCUAAUGUUCUCGCGUUCUCCAUGGCCCAGUCCAUCGAUGGCAUCACCACAUGAUUUACAAGAAACGGAUGGUGUUACCACUCACCACACAAUGGCACAAAUUCCAGGGAAACUACUAGUGGUAAAUCAACCUCGGGCUUAUCCUUUAAAGAUCAGCCUGGAGUGCAGAAGUGUGUAUGGAUCUUAUUUUCUGAAAGCAAAGAAUCAGCUUCCGCCACAACUGAACACAUUCUCUUUUUUUAUUACUCUUACCAACAAUUACGUGGAGAGUGAUUGGGUCCCUCUUUAGUCCUCCUUACAUCAUCUAAUCUAAUCUUUUAUCUGAUUUCUUAUUUUCUCAGAUUUGGCCGGGGGCUGCUUGAUGAUUUGUUGCAGAUUGCAACGCCUAUUUUUGCUUCCUUCCUAUAUAGGUUUCAUACUGCUCGAGUUAGUAGAUAACCAUCCCAUAUGUAAGAUUUAUUCUCUGAACUGGAAGAACACAUGGCAUGCACCUUAUAUUUGUUUCAGUACGCAACACAACACAUGCAUAUGAUUCCCUUCAUUCCAUGUAACGCAUUGGUUGGAACAAAUCAUCGACAACCCAGGACUAAACCUCAUUUUCCCUUCUAUUCAAGUAAGUCAUAAUCAUCACUCAAUCAAAGACAGGCUUGGAUGAAUUUAGGUCGGCAUUUAUGUGAGGCAACUAUGGUGUAUUGAAGCCAGUCCUUUCAUAAUUUCAUUUUCCUCUAUUCUACACAGGGUGGACCUACUGGUAUCACAUACAGAUCAACAGUGAAAUGGUGACAACCCCAUCCGUUUGCGGCACAUUCAUGGCUGCGGCCUCUUGAUCAUUCCACAUGACGUGCACCACUAAGCUUUGUCAAUUUGAAGCAGCAGUUUACUGCAGCCCAUGUGAGCACAGACAUCCAUGCGAGUUGACAAGGGCUUAUAAUUUGCUCUGUUACGCGUCCAGGCUUCAACAUCAUGUUCUUUUAGCAGAUCCAUAUAAUGUCAUUUAAAAAAUUAUUACGGAAUAGAUGCGCCCUAAUUUUUGUUAUCCUUUGAGUAUUGGUGAAGCUAGACAUCGCGAGUUGGAACGAUCAGGAAACCAUGCCAUUGUUGUCACUUUUCCUCCUUUGGAUAUUGAGUGCAUGACUAA
Molecule: long non-coding RNA, 1435 nt
Organism: Aegilops tauschii subsp. strangulata
Lineage: Eukaryota; Viridiplantae; Streptophyta; Magnoliopsida; Poales; Poaceae
Source: RefSeq, a predicted model, not a curated record